GGUGAGGUAACGGCUCACCAAGCCGACGACGGGUAGGGGGCGUGAGAGCGUGGCCCCCCACACGGGAACUGAGACACGGUCCCGACGCCUACGGGCGGCAGCAGUGAGGAAUCUUGCCCAAUGGGGGAAACCCUGAGGCAGCGACACCGCGUGCGGGAUGAAGGCCUUCGGGUCGUAAACCGCUUUUCUGGGGGACGAGUAAGGACGGUACUCCAGGAAUAAGUCCCGGCUAACUACGUGCCAGCAGCCGCGGUAAAACGUAGGGGGCGAGCGUUAUCCGGAAUCACUGGGCGUAAAGGGCGUCUAGGCGGCAGCCUAAGUCCCGUGUGAAAGCUCCCGGCUCAACUGGGAGAGGGCAUGGGAGACUGGGCAGCUAGAGACUCGGAGGGGGGUGUGGAAUUCCCGGUGGAGUGGUGGAAUGCGUUGAGAUCGGGAGGAACACCAGUAGCGAAGGCGGCACCCUGGCCGAGAUCUGACGCUGAAGCGCGAGAGCGUGGGGAGCGAACGGGAUUAGAUACCCCGGUAGUCCACGCCGUAAACGAUGACAACUAGGUGUUGGGUGUCCAAGGAUGCUCAGUACCGCAGCAAACGCGAUA
This 596-nucleotide ribosomal RNA is filed under the name uncultured bacterium. Its description in RNAcentral is "bacterial SSU rRNA". It matches the Rfam family "Bacterial small subunit ribosomal RNA", at positions 251 to 862 of the family's 1533-position model. The record is from RNAcentral.